GAUGAAGAACGCAGCGAAAUGCGAAAAGUAAUGUGAAUUGCAGAAUUCAGUGAAUCAUCGAAUCUUUGAACGCACAUUGCGCCCGCCAGUAUUCUGGCGGGCAUGCCUGUCUGAGCGUCAUUUCAACCCUCACGCCCCUAGGGCGUGGUGUUGGGGAUCGGCCAGCGCCCUCGCGGGCGAGGCCGUCCCCUAAAUCUAGUGGCGGACCCGUCGUGGCCUCCCCUGCGAAGUAGUGAUAUUCCGCAUAGGAGAGCGACGAGCCCCUGCCGUUAAACCCCCAACUUUCCAAGGUUGACCUCAGAUCAGGUAGGAAUACCCGCUGAACUUAAGCAUAUCAAUAAGCGGAGGA
This 349-nucleotide unclassified non-coding RNA is filed under the name soil metagenome. RNAcentral describes it as "partial contains 5.8S ribosomal RNA, internal transcribed spacer 2, and large subunit ribosomal RNA". The stretch from base 1 to 120 matches the Rfam family "5.8S ribosomal RNA", at positions 35 to 154 of the family's 154-position model. The record is from RNAcentral.